RNAcentral lists this long non-coding RNA (4879 nucleotides) under Sorghum bicolor (sorghum). RNAcentral's name for it is "long non-coding RNA (SBIC_LNC007287)". The record is from RNAcentral. Lineage: Eukaryota; Viridiplantae; Streptophyta; Magnoliopsida; Poales; Poaceae.
UGGUCGGCAAGAUGAAGCGGCUGCACCGCAGGUACGACGACAUGAUGAACGGGAUCAUCAGGGAGCGGAAGGCCGCCGAGGAAGGCAAGGACCUGCUCAGCGUGCUGCUGGCCAGGACGCGGGAACAGCAAUCGAUCGCGGACGGCGAGGACAGCAGGAUCACCGAGACUGAGAUCAAAGCACUCCUCCUCGUAAGUUAUUCUACCCUCUUGCUUUCCCGUGGCCCGUGCACAACAACUGCUCUGAUAUGAUGUGGCCGAAUGGACACGGCUACCGGCAGUCCGGCACUGACGGGGACAUGUCUCAUACUUUUGUUGCAAAAAAUUGAUCCCGACUUGUUGGAGUCUUGAGUAUAUUCAACUCUUGUGUUUCACAUGGAUGCAUGCACUUUCUGUGGACAUGUCGUGAUAACAACAGAACCUCUUCACGGCGGGGACGGACACGACGUCCAGCACGGUGGAGUGGGCGCUGGCCGAGCUGAUCCGGCACCCGGACGUGCUGAAGAAGGCCCAGGAGGAGCUGGACGCCGUCGUCGGCCGCAACCGCCUCGUCUCCGAGUUGGACCUCCCGCGCCUCACGUACCUGACGGCGGUGAUCAAGGAGACGUUCCGGAUGCACCCGUCCACGCCGCUGUCGCUGCCCCGCAUCGCCGCCGAGGAGUGCGAGGUGGACGGGUUCCGCAUCCCCGCCGGCACCACGCUGCUGGUGAACGUGUGGGCGAUCGCCCGCGACCCGGAGGCGUGGCCCGAGCCGCUCCAGUUCCGCCCCGACCGCUUCCUCCCGGGAGGCUCGCACGCGGGCGUCGACGUCAAAGGGAGCGACUUCGAGCUCAUCCCGUUCGGCGCCGGCCGCAGGAUCUGCGCAGGGCUUAGCUGGGGCCUGCGCAUGGUCACGCUCAUGACGGCCACGCUGGUGCACGCCCUGGACUGGGACCUCGCCGACGGCAUGACCGCGGACAAGCUAGACAUGGAGGAGGCAUACGGGCUCACCCUGCAGCGCGCCGUGCCGUUGAAGGUCCGCCCAGCACCCAGACUGCUGCCGUCUGCAUACGCAGCGGAGUAGGGGAAAAAAAAACGGAUUCUCGCUGGCUAUCCCGUAUCCAUGUCCGUCCGUACGCAUCGAAAUCCCGUUCGCUUUAGCUUAUUUAGCGUAUCUGCCGGUCACUUUUAUCUCCUACAACUAAAAAGACUAAAACGUGGACAAUCUUUUGGUGCGACAAUCCUCCGUCGCGGUUUCGUCCUGCCAUCCUGCGACCCGCAUCCCGCACGCCUAUCUCUUCCGAACAAAAAAAGGAAACAAAAUCGCUUUGCUCCCAAUUCCUCCUCGCCGCCCCCUCCGGUCCUCCCAAAUCCUCCUCCAUGCAGAGCUCCCCGUCGCAGAUCCUCCUCGGCCGCGCAAAUCCUCCUCGACGCAGUCUUUCUGGGAUCGACGUGCUUACCUUCCAUUCCUUCACGAAUUCACCGGCGACGAAGGCUGCGAUGGCCUGGACUUCGACCUGCCAGUGGAUUUCUCCAUCGACGACUUCCUCCUCCGCUCCCCCGACCGCGGGGACGACGGCGACGACUCCGGCGAGGGCUCCGCCGCCGGAUCCGGCCCCACCGCGUCCUCCUCGGCCUCCCCUGCCACCUCCGGCGCAAACUCCGCCGUGGCCAAUGCCGGCGUCCACGAGGUGAAGCAUGAGGACUCGGACGAGGGGAGGAGCGGCGCCGCCCCGAACUGGAGCCUCAAGCGGAAGCAGGCGAGUCCCAGAGGAGCGAUCUCGGACGUUACAGUGUUCUCCAAGGUAUUUUAGAUCUUACAACUCUUAUCAAAAGAUGGGCUAACAAAUUUCCCAAAAAAAGUUAGCUAGGGUAACAAUCAGUUCGCACUCCAUGUGUUGGUUUAUGCAGGUGGAUUUUUUCAUGGUGUUCACAGUCUCACAUUUGGCGUUGAUCUAAUGAAAAUUCGGUUGAUGGGCAUACUUCAGGUACCCAAUUGUUUUUAUUGUUCUUUCAGAUCUUUCAGAACUAAUAAUUGACACAUUCAGUACUGGAAAAGGUGUAAGUCAUCUAGAACGGCAUAUGAUGGUUCUAUGUUGCAGAGGAUUGCAAUAGCCUAUCUUCUGGCUGCAAUAUGUGAAAUCUGGCUCAAGGGAGAUGAUGAUGUAGAUUCUGGAUAUGGUUUGCUAAGGAGAUACCGCUACCAAUUGUGAGUUCAGAUCAAAAUUAUCCUCACGAGCGAUCAGUAGUUACGCUGAGUUAUGCAUUUACUGUUCAAGAACUAUAGAAUUUGAAUAAUUGACCUGGUACUGGUAUCUCAUAUUUAUGGCUUAUGGUUCGUUGUUGUCGUGCUAGAUUUGUAGGACUGGUCCUCUCUAUAGCCUAUACUAUUCUUUUGUACGGUAUAUACGUUCCAGACUGGGAGUACAAGAUAUCAGGCCCUGGUUCCACAGAGAAAUCAUUCUCUGUAAGUGCAAAGUGCCUCUGCAUUUUCUUUAUCUUGUUAGAAGUUCACUAUACAAGAAGAAGCGCUGAAGUUCAUGCUACAUUUGAAUGUGUCAGGUGAAAUGUGGAGUAAGAGGAGACACCGGACUAGCUUGCAAUGCAGUUGGUUGACCGUACAAUUCUAGGGAUCGAUCACCUCUACAGACAGCCAGUUUAUGCGCGCACAAAGGUUCGAUAUGAAGUGUAAAGUCUCAGUUUUCUGCUCCCUUGUCACAAAACUCAAUAAAAAAUUUUGGCUAACAUGCAGGAAUGUAGUAUAAAUUAUCCAGAGAAUGGACCUCUUCCACCCGUGCUCCAUCAUGGUGCCAGGCACCAUUUGAUCCUGAAGGCCUCCUCAGGUCAGUGCUUCACAAAAUCACAGCUCGUCAGUGACCAUAAGCUUCUCUUGCAAUGCAGGUUCCUCCAACUUAGUGGUAGUUCUUAAUGUCCUUCAUUCAUGUUUNNNNNNNNNNNNNNNNNNNNNNNNNNNNNNNNNNNNNNNNNNNNNNNNNNNNNNNNNNNNNNNNNNNNNNNNNNNNNNNNNNNNNNNNNNNNNNNNNNNNCUAACCAACUAAGCUAGAGGCCUUUUUAGACACAUAUAUGAAGUAUUAAAUAUAGAUUAUUUAAGAAACUAAGCAUAAAGCUAGAGGAUACUUUGUGAAAUGAUUUUUUAAAGUCUAAUUGGUCCAUAAUUAAAUACUAAUUGCUAUAAAUUUUAGUUCUUAUCACAUCAAAUGUUCUUAUCCGUCCCUGAAAGCUGCAAUUUCUAGAGUUUUUCUAAGUCAAUUUUUUACAACUUUGACCAAAUUUAUAGAAAAAAAUGCUAAGAUUUAUAGUACCAAAUUAAUACCAUUAAAUUUAUUAUAGAAUAUAUUUUUGAAAGAUACUUAUUUUAUGUUAUAGAUAUUGAUACUCUUUUCUAUAAAGUUGGUCAAAGUUAGAAAAGUUUGACUCACAUGGAUUCUAGGAGUUGAAGCUUUUGGGGACGGACCAGUAAAGUCCUCCGAGCUCCCCAAUUGCGGCGUGGGUAGGUAGGGACGGCGCCUCAGGGAGAUUGUUUGCUGAAGCCUGAAGCACGCCAAGUGAAGUGGCAUGUGUAUAUAUAGAUGAACCACUCCCACGCUAACCGCACGCUCAACGCUCAGUCCAACGCCAAAGCGCCUCCGUGAACCGAGCAACUCAAACCAUGGACGUGCCGCUGCCGCUGCUGCUGGGCUCCCUGGCCGUGUCCGUCGUCGUAUGGUGCCUCCUGCUCCGGCGCGGUGGGGACGGGAAGGGGAAGGGGAAGCGGCCUAUGCCGCCCGGUCCAAGGGGCUGGCCGGUGCUGGGCAACCUGCCGCAGUUGGGCUCUCAUCCGCACCACACCAUGUGCGCGCUUGCGAAAAAGUACGGCCCGCUGUUCCGGCUCCGGUUCGGCAGCGCCGAGGUGGUGGUGGCCGCGUCGGCGCGUGUGGCGGCGCAGUUCCUGCGCACCCACGACGCCAACUUCAGCAACCGCCCUCCAAACUCCGGAGCCGAGCACGUGGCGUACAACUACCAGGACAUGGCAUUCGCGCCCUACGGCUCCCGGUGGCGCGCGCUGCGGAAGCUGUGCGCGCUCCACCUCUUCUCCGCCAAGGCCCUGGACGACCUCCGCAGCAUCAGGGAGGGCGAGGUGGCGCUCCUGGUCAGAGAGCUCUCCCGGCACCAGCACCAGCACGCCGGCGUGCCGCUCGGCCAGGUGGCCAACGUCUGCGCGACCAACACGCUGGCCCGGGCCACGGUGGGGCGGCGCGUGUUCGCCGUGGACGGAGGGGAGGAAGCCAGGGAGUUCAAGGACAUGGUGGUGGAGCUGAUGCAGCUCGCCGGGGUCUUCAACGUCGGCGACUUCGUGCCAGCGCUGGCGCGCCUCGACCUGCAGGGCGUGGUCGGCAAGAUGAAGCGGCUGCACCGCAGGUACGACGACAUGAUGAACGGGAUCAUCAGGGAGCGGAAGGCCGCCGAGGAAGGCAAGGACCUGCUCAGCGUGCUGCUGGCCAGGACGCGGGAACAGCAAUCGAUCGCGGACGGCGAGGACAGCAGGAUCACCGAGACUGAGAUCAAAGCACUCCUCCUCGUAAGUUAUUCUACCCUCUUGCUUUCCCGUGGCCCGUGCACAACAACUGCUCUGAUAUGAUGUGGCCGAAUGGACACGGCUACCGGCAGUCCGGCACUGACGGGGACAUGUCUCAUACUUUUGUUGCAAAAAAUUGAUCCCGACUUGUUGGAGUCUUGAGUAUAUUCAACUCUUGUGUUUCACAUGGAUGCAUGCACUUUCUGUGGACAUGUCGUGAUAACAACAGAACCUCUUCACGGCGGGGACGGACACGACGUCCAGCACGGUGGAGUGGGCGCUGGCCGAGCUGAUCCGGCACCCGGACGUGCUGAAGAAGGCCCAG